RNAcentral lists this ribosomal RNA (226 nucleotides) under uncultured bacterium. RNAcentral describes it as "partial 16S ribosomal RNA". It matches the Rfam family "Bacterial small subunit ribosomal RNA", at positions 15 to 225 of the family's 1533-position model. The record is from RNAcentral.
GAUAUGGCUCAGGACGAACGCUGGCGGCGUGCUUAACACAUGCAAGUCGAACGAGAAUCUGUGGAUCGAGGAUUCGUCCAAGUGAAGCAGAGGACAGUGGCGGACGGGUGAGUAACGCGUGAGGAACCUGCCUUUCAGAGGGGGACAACAGUUGGAAACGACUGCUAAUACCGCAUGAUACAUUUGGGUGGCAUCAUCUGAAUGUCAAAGAUUUAUCGCUGAAAGA